This 416-nucleotide ribosomal RNA is filed under the name uncultured bacterium. Its description in RNAcentral is "bacterial SSU rRNA". It matches the Rfam family "Bacterial small subunit ribosomal RNA", at positions 355 to 767 of the family's 1533-position model. The record is from RNAcentral.
UGAGGAAUAUUGGUCAAUGGGCGCAAGCCUGAACCAGCCAUCCCGCGUGCAGGAAGACGGCGCUAUGCGUUGUAAACUGCUUUUCCAGGGAGAGAAACUUGCGCACGUGUUGCGCAAUUGACGGUACCCUGGGAAUAAGCAUCGGCUAACUCCGUGCCAGCAGCCGCGGUAAUACGGAGGAUGCGAGCGUUAUCCGGAUUCAUUGGGUUUAAAGGGUGCGUAGGCGGACUAUUAAGUCAGUGGUGAAAUCCUGCAGCUUAACUGCAGAACUGCCAUUGAUACUGAUAGCCUUGAGUUUGGUUAAGGUAGGCGGAAUGUGUAAUGUAGCGGUGAAAUGCUUAGAUAUUACACAGAACACCAAUUGCGUAGGCAGCUUACUGAGCCGACACUGACGCUGAGGCACGAAAGCGUGGGGA